GAUGAACGCUAGCUACAGGCUUAACACAUGCAAGUCGAGGGGAAACGACAUCGAAAGCUUGCUUUUGAUGGGCGUCGACCGGCGCACGGGUGAGUAACGCGUAUCCAACCUGCGAACCACUUGGGGAUAACCUUGAGAAAGUAAGACUAAUAACUAAUGAUAUCUGUAGAAGACAUCUGAAAGGGAUUAAAGAUUUAUAGGUGAUGGAUGGGGAUGCGUCUGAUUAGCUUGUGGGCGGGGUAACGGCCCACCAAGGCGACGAUCAGUAGGGGUUCUGAGAGGAAGGUCCCCCACAUUGGAACUGAGACACGGUCCAAACUCCUACGGGAGGCAGCAGUGAGGAAUAUUGGUCAAUGGGCGAGAGCCUGAACCAGCCAAGUAGCGUGCAGGAUGACGGCCCUAUGGGUUGUAAACUGCUUUUAUAAGGGAAUAAAGUGGGAGUCGUGACUCUUUUUGCAUGUACCUUAUGAAUAAGGACCGGCUAAUUCCGUGCCAGCCGCCGCGGUAA
RNAcentral lists this ribosomal RNA (508 nucleotides) under uncultured bacterium. Its description in RNAcentral is "partial 16S ribosomal RNA". It matches the Rfam family "Bacterial small subunit ribosomal RNA", at positions 28 to 523 of the family's 1533-position model. The record is from RNAcentral.